Molecule: RNA transcript, 2519 nt
Organism: Quercus lobata
Lineage: Eukaryota; Viridiplantae; Streptophyta; Magnoliopsida; Fagales; Fagaceae
Gene name: amino acid transporter AVT6A-like
Exons: 5
Source: RefSeq, a predicted model, not a curated record
AUGUCUCCGUGAAGACUAGUUUUUUAUUGAUUUUCUGAACCACCUUUAAUUGCAUUGAAUUGCAAUGUGUUGAAGACAAUGGCUUGGAGUUAUAGUUAUUGUUUCAUUUCUUCUUUCAUUCAUUCUUUGGUCCCAGCCAAUGCAUCCCUACUCACUCCUCACAACAACAACAACAACAACAACAAAAGACAUGGAACUAGGAAGUUGGAACAGCACGGUACAGAGUCUACUUCGUACCCACGUUCACCUUCUGUUCAAAACUCAAAUGGGUAUUACACUGUCACUACAUCUCACAUAUAUGUGUCUCUUUGAAUAACAGUUGAAUUCAAUUCCAAUCUUCACUGUCAUAUUGGAAUUCUUUUUCCAUCAAAAUAUGGUCUUGUGCUACAUAUUUGUUUUUCUAGUCACUUAUUACUGUAUUCGUCUUGUGUUCAUCAUAAUUAGUUCAACUGGUCCUUGUCUGUUUCUGGGUAUUCAACUGUUACACUGAUUGAUAUUUGACAGUCUUUUUUUUUUUAUUUCAGUCAGUCUGAACUCAACUUUACUCAGACUUCUUUUGCUUUUUAUAAUUUUUGCAGUAACCAUUUUUUUAAAUUUAAUUUUUGGUUAUUUAUAAAAAUUCAUAGAGUGUAUUAAAGUUUUCAUUUCUGUUUAUGGGCCUCAAAUAUACCAAAAGAGGUUUAAAUUGAGGUUUUACCAAGUUUUAAUUCAAGUUAAUACUUUUGGUAGUGCCAUCUGCCAAAGCAGUGGUUUUCAAGUAUAGUCCUUGAAAAACCUUGUGGGGGCGUUUGUAUUUAGUAUAUAAAGUCUCUUUUUUCUUUUUUUUUCUUUUUUUUUUUUAAUUAUAAUUUUCAUACUAGUAAUACCACUUUGUUCAGAAUUUGUGAAUUUUGGAAUGUGAUUCCCAAGAUUUGAUCCAAGAUUUUAUAGAAAUAUUUGGGUUUUCAUUCCUAUUUUUUAAUUUUUAAUUAACCAUUUGUUUCUGGUUUAAAUUUUGUUAAUUGGGUUCUCAAAACUAACAUCUGUGAGCUGCAAUCUUGGUUUUGCUGUACUGAAACGUAAGAAUAUGACUAAUGAAAGUCUUGAUAACAUUUCACAAAAAGAGGAACCGGUUGGUGAUGAGAGAGCCUCCUUGUAGAUUUCAUGGAGCUUCCUUUCAUGGUUCUGUCUUCAAUCUGGUGUGUACCAUCGUUGGUUCCGGAAUUAUGAGUUUGCCUGCCACAUUGAAAGUCUUGGGUCUUGUCCUUGGGGCAGCACUUUCUUAUGGGGAUUUAAUGGGUGAUGCCUUUGGAAGGAUUGGGAAAAUAUUGCUUCAAGUCUGUGUUAUCAUCAACAACAUUGGUGUUCUUAUUGUGUAUUUGAUAAUAAUUGAGGAUGUGCUUUCGGGAUCCACUUCCAGUGGGGUUCCUCAUUCUGGUGUUCUACAAGAGUGGUUUGGGGAACACUGGUGGACUGGACGUGCCUUUGUUCUUAUUGUCUUAACUGUGGCAAUAUUUGUUCCAUUUGAUAUGCUUUAAGUGUAUUGAUUCAUUGAGAUUUUCAUCAGUCAUAUCAUUUUCUCUGGCAGUUUUGUUCCUUAUUGUUGUCAUUGGAGUAACAAUUUACAAAUUGAUAGUGGGAAGCAUAGAGACACCAACACUGUUUCCAAGUGUCACUGAUUUGGCAUCCUUUUGAGAUCUGUCCCUGUGGUUGUUUUUGCUUAUGUCUGCCACUACAAUGUUCACACAAUUGAGAAUGAACUUGAAGAUUCUCCACAGAUGAUAGGAGUUGUACAGACUUCACUUGCUCUCUGCACCACUGUUUACAUAAUGACCGGGUUGUUUGGGUUCCUUCUCUUUGGUGAUUCAACUCUUUCUGACUCGCUCUCCAAGUUUGACACUGACCUUGGUGUCCCCUACAGUUCUCUUUUUAACGAUGUUGUUCGUAUAAGCUAUGCUGGCCAUAUCAUACUAGUAUUUCCCAUGCCUUCUUUCCAUUGAGGCUCAACUUGGAUGGUCUCCUUUUUCCCUCAGCCAGGCCCUUGGCUUCAGACAACUUUAGAUUUGCAAUCAUCAGCAUGGGGCUUGUUGUAAUUAUUCUCUUGGGUGCAAUAUUUAUACCCAGCAGGUGGGUAGCUUUUGAGUUCACUGGAGCAACUGUUGGAGUUCUACUGGCAUUCAUCUUUCCUGCUUCCAUUAGUCUCAAGGACCCUCAUGGUAUUGGCACAAGGAAGGACAAGGUCACAUCCAUCUGCAUGAUCAUUCUUGCAGUAUUCUCAAAUGCGAUAGCCAUUUACAGUGAUGCAUAUGCUCUGUUGACGGAAGAAGGCUUGACCAAAAUUUCCUUAAAUUGCGAUUGGUAAUGAGGGUUUCUAAUAUAUUUUUUUUCUUGCUAUGGUUCUAAAAGGAGAGAAAUAUAGUUUAUACAUUUUAGGUUCACUCCCUAGGUACAUCAUUGUAUUGUUCACAGCUUAUGCUGAAUAAUGUAAUUUGUAGUUAAAACCUAUGAAUUAUAGAUUUACAUCUUACUCCACUGCACUA